Gossypium arboreum is the source of this 441-nucleotide long non-coding RNA. RefSeq lists it as uncharacterized. NCBI's taxonomy places the organism in Eukaryota, Viridiplantae, Streptophyta, Magnoliopsida, Malvales, Malvaceae. The record is from RefSeq and is a predicted model, not a curated record. The transcript has 2 exons.
AUCCGGGUUAAGACCCGAAGGCAAUUGUGCUAGUGACUACAUCCGGGCUAAGACCCGAAGGCAUUCGUGCAAGUUGUUAAAUCCGGGCUAAUACCCGAAGGCAUUUGUGCAAGUCGUUCUAUCCGGGCUAAGACCCGAAGGCAUUCGUGCAUGUGGUUAUAUCCGGUUGUAUUCCGAAGAAGCUUGGGCUGGAGGUGAGCGUUGGUUGCUGUAAUAAAUUUAAUUAGUACGCUCGAAAAGCCCAAAGAAUAAGAUUUUGCUCGUUAGCGAUCGGAUUCGGGAUCAUUAAAGUCGAAGUCAUCUACACUAUCAAAGCCUCCAUUUUGGUAUAAUUUUGGUUGAACUUUGAAAUGGCAUGUAUAGGACUACCCUAUUGUUGAAGGUCAUGUACCUUUCGGUUUUGUGUAAGCUUGGAUAGCCAUGCGAAAAUGGCUUAUAUAA